AGCGAACGCUGGCGGCAGGCUUAACACAUGCAAGUCGAGCGGGCAUCCUUGUGGUGUCAGCGGCAGACGGGUGAGUAACGCGUGGGAACGUGCCCUUCGGUUCGGAAUAACUCAGGGAAACUUGAGCUAAUACCGGAUACGCCCUCUUGGGGAAAGGUUUACUGCCGAAGGGUCGGCCCGCGUCUGCUUAGCUAGUUGGUGAGGUUAUGGCUCACCAAGGCGACGAUCAGUAGCUGGUCUGAGAGGAUGAUCAGCCACACUGGGACUGAGACACGGCCCAGACUCCUGCGGGAGGCAGCAGUGGUGAAUGUUGGACAAUGGGGGCAACCCUGAUCCAGCCAGGCCGCGUGAGUGAUGACGGCCUUAGGGUUGUAAAUCUCUUUUCUCCGGGACGAUAAUGACGGUACCGGAGGAAUAAGCCCCGGCUAACUUCGUG
RNAcentral lists this ribosomal RNA (436 nucleotides) under uncultured bacterium. Its description in RNAcentral is "partial 16S ribosomal RNA". It matches the Rfam family "Bacterial small subunit ribosomal RNA", at positions 29 to 507 of the family's 1533-position model. The record is from RNAcentral.